Sinocyclocheilus anshuiensis is the source of this 188-nucleotide long non-coding RNA. RefSeq lists it as uncharacterized. NCBI's taxonomy places the organism in Eukaryota, Metazoa, Chordata, Actinopteri, Cypriniformes, Cyprinidae. The transcript is spliced from 2 exons. The record is from RefSeq and is a predicted model, not a curated record.
AGUGGCUAUUGGUCAGUGGAGUUGUCGGUGAACUGAAAGAUCAAAAUGUAUUGCCCUUUCUGUGGCAUCCAAUGGCUGACUUUGCCAAGAUUUUGCAGUUCAUGUGGGCGAGAUGUAAGCUUUGUCGUAGAGAAUGCCCCUAGAACGGCGGGUGAUGACCAGGUGUCAGCAAACAAAACAAAAACAAG